UGUGUAACCUGCCCUUAACUCUGGGAUAAGCCUGGGAAACUGGGUCUAAUACCGGAUAUGACUCCUCAUCGCAUGGUGGGGGGUGGAAAGCUUUAUUGUGGUUUUGGAUGGACUCGCGGCCUAUCAGCUUGUUGGUGAGGUAAUGGCUCACCAAGGCGACGACGGGUAGCCGGCCUGAGAGGAUGGGCAAACCCACAGUUUGGGACUGAGACACGGCCCAGACUCCGUACGGGAGCAG
RNAcentral lists this ribosomal RNA (238 nucleotides) under uncultured bacterium. Its description in RNAcentral is "partial 16S ribosomal RNA". It matches the Rfam family "Bacterial small subunit ribosomal RNA", at positions 118 to 347 of the family's 1533-position model. The record is from RNAcentral.